GAUGAACGCUGGCGGCGUGCCUAAUACAUGCAAGUCGAGCGAACAGGCGAGGCGCUUGCUCCUUCGUCGUUAGCGGCGCGCGGGAGUGUCACGCGUAUGUCCCCUACCUAUCAGUCUGGGAUAACUUCGGGAAACCGGCGCUAAUACCGGAUAAUAUUUCGCACCGCAGGGUUCGAUAGUGAAAGUCGGCGUUGCUGGCACUUAUAGAUGGACCUGCGCCGGAUUGGCUAGUUGGUGAGGUAAUGGGUUAUCAAGGCAACGAUGCGUAGACGACGUGAGCGGGUGAUCGGCCGCACGGGAGGGGGGACACGCACAAUACUCCUACGGGAGGCAGCAGUAGGGUAUCGGCCGCAGUAGGCGAAAGCCUGGCGGAGCAGGGCGGCGUGAGAUAUGACGGUCUCGGGAUCGUAAAACUCUGCUAUUAGGGAAGAACAAACGUGUAAGUAGAUGUGGACGGCUUGACGGUAACUAAUCAGAAAGCCACGGCUAACUACGUG
RNAcentral lists this ribosomal RNA (497 nucleotides) under uncultured bacterium. RNAcentral describes it as "partial 16S ribosomal RNA". It matches the Rfam family "Bacterial small subunit ribosomal RNA", at positions 28 to 507 of the family's 1533-position model. The record is from RNAcentral.